Molecule: ribosomal RNA, 492 nt
Filed under: uncultured bacterium
Lineage: Bacteria
Description: partial 16S ribosomal RNA
Rfam family: Bacterial small subunit ribosomal RNA
Source: RNAcentral
AGUGAACGCUGGCGGUAGGCCUAACACAUGCAAGUCGAACGGCAGCACAGUAAGAGCUUGCUCUUACGGGUGGCGAGUGGCGGACGGGUGAGGAAUACAUCGGAAUCUACUUUUUCGUGGGGGAUAACGUAGGGAAACUUACGCUAAUACCGCAUACGACCUACGGGUGAAAGCAGGUGAUCUUCGGACCUUGCGCGAUCGAAUGAGCCGAUGUCGGAUGAGCUAGUUGGGGGGGUAAAGGCCCACAAAGGCGACGAUCCGUAGCUGGUCUGAGAGGAUGAUCAGCCACACUGGAACUGAGACACGGUCCAGACUCCUACGGGAGGCAGAAGUGGGGAAUAUUGGACAAUGGGCGAAAGCCUGAUCCACCCCUACCGCGUGGGUGAAGAAGGCCUUCGGGUUGUAAAGCCCUUUUGUUGGGAAAGAAAAGCAGCAGGUUAAUACCCCGCUGUUCUGACGGUACCCAAAGAAUAAGCACCGGCUAACUUCGUG